Vicia villosa (hairy vetch) is the source of this 2877-nucleotide long non-coding RNA. RefSeq lists it as uncharacterized. The record is from RefSeq and is a predicted model, not a curated record. NCBI's taxonomy places the organism in Eukaryota, Viridiplantae, Streptophyta, Magnoliopsida, Fabales, Fabaceae. The transcript has 12 exons.
AAAGUAUAUGGCAUGGCAUUCACAAAAAUAUUUAAAAUAUAUGUUAAUUGUUAGAAAAAUGGUAUGAUAAUCCUGGAUAUCUUCAAGAAUCGUAUUUGUUCACUUUCUGAACAAAGUAUUUCGACCUUAUUUUUGUCGGGUUCACGAAAUCUUUGCGGGGAUAAUUCUUGAAGAACAAUCUGUUUCUGACAAUAGAGAGCAGAUCGGAAUGUAGAGAGGAAGUAUGUAAUUUCGUAUCCCAAAUCGAGACCAAAAGACUCCUUAUAUAGGAGACCAAUAAUAGAAACGAUCAGACACACAUUUUCGGAAAAACAAUUAUGCCCCUUGGACCCCGGCAGGGCGCUGCCCCGCACCCCGCCAAGGCACUGGCGGAGCCAAGGCCCGGCGAGGAUGGGCACUUGCCCGGGCUCUUCUUCCUCAUGUAGCCUCAAGCCCCAACAGUACAUGCUCAACAAUCACUUGGACUUUCGUUUGGAUUCGCGCAUAGUUUUGGUUCAGUCAUGAUUUCUAGCCUCAAGCCCCAACAACAUAUGCUUAAGAAGUGUUCGAUGAAAUGCCUCCACCGGUUUCUUCUCUUUUCUUCUGAUUAUGUUUUUAUUUUCUUGUGAUGGGAUGUUAAAUUGUUAUACUAAUGAUGAUGCAGCCUGUGAAUUAGUUUUUUCUGCCGUUAUCGCUAUUUUGAAACUCGCACGCCACAUGUUCGAUGAAAUGCAUAGGUGCUACUUCUUGUUGACUUCACAUUUCAUAAACCGUUGUGUCACAUCUGUUUUCGCGGUAAUAGAUCGUAGCUAAAUGAAUAAAUAAUGAUGCAGGAAUACUGAUCAUGCUCCGAAAGAUGUACCUUGUAUGGUUAAAAUGAAUUGUGCUGCAUCUUAUUCAACAAAGUCAAAUUGGUCUUUGUGCUACUGAUAUAUAAAAACUUAACUUUGGCUUAUAUGUUGGCAUGUUUUAAGGGAAAUGAUCUGUGGCUGCUAGCAAGGAGAUGAUCUGGAUGGACUCCUUAGUUUGGAAGGAUAUGCAGUGCUUCACUUUAAGAGAUCCUCUAACUCCGCUUCAAUGGGAAGAAUUGGUUGUAAGAUUUACUUUUGCAAGGAAGAUGAGGUUUGUUUAAUACAAAUCCUUGCUCUUUGAGGUCCCCUUUUGAGAGGGAGUUUUUGUGAAGCCCAAAGGUUCGAUUAACAACUUACUGCAGCCUAUUGCUCCGUAGAAUAUUAAACCAGUUGCAUUUGAACCAAAAGCAACUGACAUGAACAACAGCUUUAGAAAUGUACCGGGUAAGGAAUCCAACUCUGCUCUAAACUUUAUGCUCCCAAUGUGCAUACUAUUCACAGUAUUUCCAUCAUCUUUCCUUUUUCCUCAAAAUAUUUCUAUUCUCUCUCCCCCUCUCUCUAUUCUACCAACAACAUUUUCCUUUUCUCAAACUUUGUUUUACCCUAACUUGUUUUAAUUCGUUAUUUGGUUUUUGAGUUCCAUAUGGGUAGGCCGUUUGAGCCCGUGAAGAACAUCAAUGAGAUGAAGGAGAUGUGGAAAAUAGUCGUUUGAAUCCAUCACAAAUGGGUUGUUAACAAAAAUAAGAAACAUUUUGAGAUGGUUGUCGUUGAUAACGAUAUUAUUAGAUAUGUUUGGAGAAAAAUAGUGGGAGAAGUUUGCCAAGAGAGUGAAGCAGCGGAGGAUGGCAACAAGGGUUGUCAAAGAAAAGCGAGAUGCCUCUCCAUGAAAGAAGUUUGCCUGUUUCAAUCUAAUGUCCUGCUAUUCAUCGAGGACUGAGUCGUGAAUCAUAUAACCUAACUGUGGUUAUUCCAAAAGCUCUCAUGCCUCAUGAGUUGGUGAAGUAAGAGUUGUUUCCGAUAUGCGUAAGCGGAAAGCGGCAGUGGCUUAAGAAGCUGAUGCUUUUAUUGCACUCCCUGGCAGAUAGUUACAUGAAUAACCAUGAAAUGAUGAGUGGGGUUCAAAAGAGGUUAUUUUCUGGUUAAAUCUGGUUCAGAAGCAGCUGCAACAAGCUAUUGAUAAGGAGAAAAUACAGUCAAGACUGACAAAUCUGAAAGCAUUGAGGGUAUAUGUAUGUUGAAGAGUGUAAUAUGGCUUUAUUGGUUCCUUAACUUAAUGUAUGUGAUUAAGGUACAUAAAAUUGUUUCCUUUAUUUGUUCGCAACCUUAGGACCCAAUCUGAAUGGUUUGUUUGGGAGACAAUCUGGGACAACUCCUUGAUACUUCUAUUCUGCGGCUAACAAGAACAAGGUUGUGAAUGGGAUGAGAAAGCCCUGUAUGAUUACUUGCUUAACCCUAAGAAGUACAUCCCAGGGACAAAGAUGGUGUUUCCUGGUCUUAAGAAGCCUCAGGAUCGUGCUGAUCUUAUUGCAUAUCUGAAGCAAGCCACUGCAUCAGAAUAGAAUUUUCGUGACAGGAUGUAUUAUCUACUUUUUUGGGUAGGUUUACCUUCGCACAGUAUACCUAAUGCAGACAGUACACAGUAACAGUGGCAUGGGAUUAAUGGUACACCAAAGUAGUACACAUAUAUAUGUGAUAUUUUAUACACUCUACAACAGUUGAAAAGACACACUAAUGAUGGCUAUUUUCCUCACUUGUCCACACCUGCUGAAACUACAGAAUUUCUGCUGCACUUUUAUACACAGGUUUCAACAUAAAAAAAGAGCAUUUGAGGUGCCAUUUUGAUGAAUAAUUCAUACUCCCGCCAGAAUUACUUUUCUUUCUGCUACACAGGGAGGGGUUAUUAAGUUUUCAACUAAAUAUCUUUAUGCAAUGUUACUAUGUUCCUGAAAUGAAAUAUUAAGAAAUAUUAUGAAAUUUUAUUGCUCUUAAAUUAUUUUUAAUACUAUUUAUGUUAUCGUGUUCUUAAUGGACGCUAUAAAUUAUAUGU